GCGCCACCAGGGAAGCCCAGGGACAUCUUCUGAAAGAAGGGUCUUUGUGGAAUGAGUGAAGGAUCUGAGAUGAAGUCAUCCUGGAUGAGGAUGGAGGAAAGUGCUUGGAGCCAUGCCAGUGACAGCACGCAUGCCGAGUUGCAGGCCACAUGGGAUGGUCGGGUGGUCCUGGUCUGGGUGCUCUUCUGGAAGUUUCCAUUUACCUACCUGAGCUACCCCUCCGCUCCUGGACCCCACUGCCUGGGGAGAACUUACAACAGCAGGUACAGCCGGCACGGAGUUGCUUAGCGACUCCCCCGUGGACACCAUGGACACUGCUGAGAUGAGAUGAGAACCAGGAGAGGCUGCUGGUGUCUGAACCUCUGCCCGGGCCCGUCUAGAGCAACGAGGUGCACUAUGUGCGGGCCUACGACCAUGAUGUGUGGACAGGCACUCAUGCCUGCCGCAUGGCCUCCAGCCCACCAUGGACCCUCCAGUCCUGCUGUGGACACCACCAUCUAGUCAUGGACUCCCGCUCCUGCUGUGGACACCCCCAUUCCAUUAACCCCCAAGAGACCUGCUGAAUAGGGGUGAGAACUCCACUGAGAAGAAGAGACCAGGGAUGUGCAUGUGCCUUUGAGGAAAUCAUUGCUCAGAAGACUGCAGCAUCUAUCAGCAGUCUUCUCCGUGAUCUCUUGACCUUUGCUCUUCCUCUUUUCAUCUGGUAUCUUGCCAGAUCGUUCAUGGAGAAAUUAGGUCCUAUCUGGCAAGAGCAGAAUCGUCUUCCCAACACAUGAGAAAAGAACAGGCAUGGGCCCACACCCAUCUUAUCCUUCCCUGCCUAACCGGCCCCAUCAGGUCAGGAAGAUGUGUCCCUCCUCCUGUCAGAAGCCAAAUCCCAGAUAAAGAACUUAGAUGUAAAGGAAACCAGAAUAUUGUUUUGAGCUAUGGACACUUUAAAAAAAAACCAACAACAGCAAAAACAAAUGAUCAAAUUUCCCAAAAUAUGGAUGUUACAGAAAAACCCGAACGAACUUUUGGGCCAACCCAAUAGGUGCAAAGAAGGGCGCGGGGACCUUUCUGCUCUUUUUUCCCCAAAGCAGGAGAGAACAUAUCCUCCCCCCCAACCCCCACUCCUGCCGCCAUGGAAGACGUCCUCCCUCUGCUGGAAGGAGAGCGACAUUGUUACCGUCAAGGGAAGAAAGUGGAGAAUGAGAGAAUUCUGUACAAAUGGAGUUUGUUAAACGUAAUUCUCAUACUCCUUCACUUCCCCACACAGUGUACUUCCUUUUCCACAAUCGCCUCUCUUUGUUCAACACAACAGAAAAGCAUUUAGGUUUUGCCACUUC
Long non-coding RNA from Globicephala melas (long-finned pilot whale), 1328 nucleotides. RefSeq lists it as uncharacterized. The record is from RefSeq and is a predicted model, not a curated record. Lineage: Eukaryota; Metazoa; Chordata; Mammalia; Artiodactyla; Delphinidae.